UCCCAGACUCCUACGGGAGGCAGCAGUGGGGGAUAUUGCACAAUGGGGGGAACCCUGAUGCAGCGACGCCGCGUGGGUGAAGGAGUGCUUCGGCAUGUAAAGCUCUAUCAGCAGGGAAGAAAAUGACGGUACCUGACUAAGAAGCCCCGGCUAACUACGUGCCAGCAGCCGCGGUAAUACGUAGGGGGCAAGCGUUAUCCGGAUUUACUGGGUGUAAAGGGAGCGUAGACGGUAGAGCAAGUCUGAAGUGAAAGCCCGCGGCUCAACUGCGGGACUGCUUUGGAAACUGUUCAACUGGAGUGCUGGAGAGGUAAGCGGAAUUCCUAGUGUAGCGGUGAAAUGCGUAGAUAUUAGGAGGAACACCAGUGGCGAAGGCGGCUUACUGGACAGUAACUGACGUUGAGGCUCGAAAGCGUGGGGAGCAAACAGGAUUAGAUACCCCUGUA
This 446-nucleotide ribosomal RNA is filed under the name uncultured bacterium. RNAcentral describes it as "bacterial SSU rRNA". It matches the Rfam family "Bacterial small subunit ribosomal RNA", at positions 329 to 792 of the family's 1533-position model. The record is from RNAcentral.